Molecule: ribosomal RNA, 274 nt
Filed under: uncultured bacterium
Lineage: Bacteria
Description: partial 16S ribosomal RNA
Rfam family: Bacterial small subunit ribosomal RNA
Source: RNAcentral
AGACAGAGGGUGCAAGCGUUAAUCGGAAUUACUGGGCGUAAAGCGUGCGUAGGCGGAUUGUUAAGCGAGAUGUGAAAGCCCCGGGCUCAACCUGGGAACUGCAUUUCGAACUGGCAGUCUAGAGUUUUGUAGAGGGUGGUGGAAUUUCCAGUGUAGCGGUGAAAUGCGUAGAGAUUAGAAGGAACAUCAGUGGCGAAGGCGGCCACCUGGACAAAAACUGACGCUGAGGCACGAAAGCGUGGGGAGCAAACAGGAUUAGAAACCCCGGUAGUCC